Molecule: ribosomal RNA, 404 nt
Filed under: Fusobacteriota bacterium
Lineage: Bacteria; Fusobacteriati; Fusobacteriota
Description: Fusobacteria bacterium partial 16S ribosomal RNA
Rfam family: Bacterial small subunit ribosomal RNA
Source: RNAcentral
UGGGGAAUAUUGCACAAUGGCGGGAACUCUGAUGCAGCGACGCCGCGUGAGUGAUGAAGGAAUUCGUUUCGUAAAACUCUGUUCUAUGGGAAGAAAAGGACUGUACCAUAGGAGAAAGCUCCGGCUAAAUACGUGCCAGCAGCCGCGGUAAUACGUAUGGAGCGAGCGUUGUCCGGAAUUAUUGGGCGUAAAGGGUGCGCAGGCGGCUUUACAAGUUGGAUGUGAAAUAUUGUGGCGCAACCACAAACGUGCAUCCCAAACUGCAAAGCUUGAGUUAAGGAGAGGUAAGUGGAAUUCCUGGUGUAGCGGUGGAAUGCGUAGAUAUCAGGAGGAAUACCGGUGGCGAAGGCGACUUACUGGACUUGAACUGACGCUCAGGCACGAAAGCGUGGGGAGCAAACAGG